Molecule: transfer RNA, 111 nt
Organism: Fomitopsis pinicola
Lineage: Eukaryota; Fungi; Basidiomycota; Agaricomycetes; Polyporales; Fomitopsidaceae
Rfam family: tRNA
About the family: Transfer RNA (tRNA) molecules are approximately 80 nucleotides in length.
Source: Rfam
GCCUGUUUAGCUCAGUGGUAGAGCGCGCCACUCGUAAGGACGUGGUACGGUAGAUGCUGUGCUUACGUAACCCCGAUGGUGAGGUCGCUCGUUCGAUCCGGGCAAUAGGCA